AUUGAACGCUGGCGGAAUGCUUUACACAUGCAAGUCGAACGGCAGCACGGGGGCAACCCUGGUGGCGAGGGGCGAACGGGGGAGUAAAACAUCGGACCUUGCCCAGCCGUGGGGGUUAACGUGGGGAAAGUUCGGCUAAUACCGCAUACGACCUACGGAGGAAAGGGGGGGACGGUAAGGCCCGCGGCGAUGGGAGCGGCCGAGAUCAGAUUAGGUAGUGGGUGGGGUAAAGGCCCACCAAGCCAAUGAUCUGUAGCUGGUCUGAGAGGACGACCAGCCACACUGGAACUGAGACACGGUCCAGACUCCUACGGGAGGCAGCAGUGGGGAAUUUUGGACGAUGGGCGAAAGCCUGAUCCAGCCAUUCCGCGUGCAGGAUGAAGGCCCUCGGGUUGUAAACUGCUUUUGUACAGAACGAAAAGGUUUCUACUAAUACUAGGAGCUCAUGACGGUACUGUAAGAAUAAGCACCGGCUAACUACGUGCCAGCAGCCGCGGUAA
This 500-nucleotide ribosomal RNA is filed under the name uncultured bacterium. RNAcentral's name for it is "partial 16S ribosomal RNA". It matches the Rfam family "Bacterial small subunit ribosomal RNA", at positions 29 to 523 of the family's 1533-position model. The record is from RNAcentral.